GACGACGCUGGCGGCGUGCCUAACACAUGCAAGUCGAGCGAAGAAUACAUAAAGAAAUCUUCGGAUGGAAUUAUGUAUUUCUUAGCGGCGGACGGGUGAGUAACGCGUGAGGAACCUGCCUUGUACUAGGGGAUAGCCUCGGGAAACCAGGAUUAAUACCCUAUGAUACUUGAAAGUCGCAUGACUUUCAAGUCAAAGCGAUUUAGCGGUACAAGAUGGCCUCGCGUCCCAUUAGCUAGUUGGCGAGGUAAUAGCUCACCAAGGCGACGAUGGGUAGCCGGCCUGAGAGGGUGAACGGCCACACUGGAACUGAGACACGGUCCAGACUCCUACGGGAGGCAGCAGUGGGGAAUAUUGCACAAUGGAGGAAACUCUGAUGCAGCGACGCCGCGUGAGCGAUGAAGGUUUUCGAAUCGUAAAGCUCUGUCCUAAGGGACGAUAAUGACGGUACCUUAGGAGGAAGCCCCGGCUAACUACGUG
Molecule: ribosomal RNA, 480 nt
Filed under: uncultured bacterium
Lineage: Bacteria
Description: bacterial SSU rRNA
Rfam family: Bacterial small subunit ribosomal RNA
Source: RNAcentral